AGGAAUCUGCCCUAGAGCGGGGGAUAACUCGAGGAAACUCGAGCUAAUACCGCAUACAUUCUAAGGAACAAAGCUGGGUUUACCUGGCGCUUUAGGAGGAGCCUGCGUCUGAUUAGCUAGUUGGUGGGGUAAAGGCCUACCAAGGCGACGAUCAGUAGCUGGUCUGAGAGGAUGAUCAGCCACACUGGGACUGAGACACGGCCCAGACUCCUACGGGAGGCAGCAGUGGGGAAUAUUGGACAAUGGGGGCAACCCUGAUCCAGCAAUACCGCGUGUGUGAAGAAGGCCUUCGGGUUGUAAAGCACUUUAGGUGGGGAAGAAGCUAGUCAGUUUAAGAGAUAGAUUAGUUGACGGUACCCACAGAAUAAGCACCGGCUAACUCUGUGCCAGCAGCCGCGGUAAUACAGAGGGUGCAAGCGUUAAUCGGAAUUACUGGGCGUAAAGGGCGCGUAGGUGGUUGUGUAAGUGAGAUGUGAAAUCCCCGGGCUCAACCUGGGAACUGCGUCUUAUACUGCAUAGCUUGAGUACAAUAGAGGGUAGUGGAAUUUCCGGU
RNAcentral lists this ribosomal RNA (553 nucleotides) under uncultured bacterium. Its description in RNAcentral is "bacterial SSU rRNA". It matches the Rfam family "Bacterial small subunit ribosomal RNA", at positions 119 to 674 of the family's 1533-position model. The record is from RNAcentral.